AUGAGCGACGCACAGCUUCCUCAUUCUCACCCACGACGCCCCCUUUCGCCAGCGGCCAAGAGGUCGCGGUUCGGAGACGCAACGCCUCUCCACGCGUCUCUGGCCAGUUCCUCCGGGAACACGGGGAGUGUGGUUGCGAUGACCCAGGACGCAGUGCCUUCUGGGCCUUCCGGCACGACUCCCCAUCGCUGCACCACUGCGGGUAUGUCGACUGUCCCUUUGGUGCCACUUGUACGGUAUCUGGGAGCGUGGCUUGCGCUGCCCAACCCGUCACGCUGGCUCAUCCGGACGGUUCGACUCGGCUAUGCGAUUCAGUUCGCCCGGCGACCCCCCCAAGUUCAAUGGCAUGCUCGAAACUUCGGUGGCAGUCCAGGACGCUCCUGUCUUGCGCGAGGAGAUUGCUGUCCUCCUGGCGAAGGAUGCAAUCGAGCCGGUCCCUCCAGCCGAGAUGAGGACGGGGCUUUACUGCCCUUACUUCAUCGUGCCCAAGAAAAGCGGUGGCCUUCGACCUAUCCUGGUUCUGCGAGUCUUGAAUCGGGCCCUACACAAGCUCCCGUUCAGGAUGUUGACGCAGAAACGCGUUAUCAAAUGCGUCCAGCCCCAGGACUGGUUUGCAGCGAUCGACCUGAAAGACGCGUACUUUCAUGUCUCUAUCCUCCCUCGUCACAGACCGUUCCUGCGCUUUGCUUCCGAGGGUCAGGCAUGGCAGUACAAGGUCCUCCCCUUCGGGCUCUCCCUGUCCCCCCGUGUCUUCACGAAGGUCGCGGAGGGCGCCCUUGCCCCACUUUGGGAAGUGGGCAUCAGGAUCCUCAACUAUCUCGACGACUGGCUCAUUAUGGCCCGGUCCCGAGAAGAGUUGUGCGAUCACAGGGACUUCGUGCUUCGGCACCUCAGUCAGUUGGGGCUUCAGGUCAACCGGGAGAAGAGCAAGCUCUCCCCUGUGCAGAGAAUCUCUUAUCUCGGUAUGGAGUUAGACUCGGUGAGUAUGAUGGCACGUCUCACCAGCGAGCGUGCCCACUCAGUGCUGAACUGCCUGAGUUCCUUCAGAGGCAGGAUAGUGGUACCGCUGAAACACUUUCAGAGGCUCCUGGGGCAUAUGGCAUCCGCAGCCGCAGUCACGCCGCUCGGGUUGCUUCAUAUGAGACCACUUCAGCACUAGUUACGCUCCCGAGUCCCGAGAUGGGCAUGGCGCCGCGGUACACAUCGUGUCACCAUCACACUGAUGUGUCGCCGCCUAUUCAGUCCUUGGUCGGACCUUGCUUUUCUACGGGCCGGCGUGCCCUUAGAACAAGUGUCCCGGCACGUUGUUGUCACAACAGAUGCCUCCAACUCGGGCUGGGGCGCGACAUGCAACGGGCAGGCAGCUUCAGGGUCCUGGACAGGACCUCGACUGCUGUGGCACAUCAACUGCCUGGAGUUGCUGGCAGUGCAUCUAGCUUUGCGACGGUUUCGUCCGCUAGUGCUGGACAAGCACGUGUUGGUCCGCACGGACAACACUGCGGCUGUUUCGUACAUCAACCGACAGGGCGGUUUACGAUCACGUCGCAUGUCUCAACUCGCCCGUCAUCUCCUCCUCUGGAGUCAGACGUGGCUCAAGUCGCUGCGUGCUGUCCACAUCCCGGGGGAGCUCAAUCGUGCAGCCAGCGUGCUCUCACGACAGCUCACUUUCCCCGGGGAAUGGCGACUCCAUCCCCAGACGGCCCAGCUGAUCUGGAGUCGAUUCGGGGAAGCCCAGGUAGACCUGUUUGCUUCCCACGAGUCCUCCCACUGCCAGCUGUACUAUUCCCUGUCCCAGGCCCCCCUGGGCACAGAUGCACUGGCACACAGCUGGCCUCUGGCUUUACGCAAGUAUGCGUUCCCCCAGUGAGCCUGCUCGCACAGACACUGUGCAAGGUCAGGGAGGACGAGGAACAGGUCCUGUUGGUUGCGCCUUACUGGCCCACCCGGACCUGGUUUUCGGAACUCAUGCUCCUCGUGACAGCCCCUCCCUGGCGCAUCCCCCGGAGGAGAGACCUUCUCUCUCAGGGGCCUGGCACCAUUUGGCACCCGCGCCCAGAUCUCUGGAACCUCCAUGUGUGGCUUCUAGACGGGACGCGGCAGACCUAA
This is a long non-coding RNA of Carassius auratus (goldfish), 2106 nucleotides long. The record is from Ensembl. NCBI's taxonomy places the organism in Eukaryota, Metazoa, Chordata, Actinopteri, Cypriniformes, Cyprinidae.